UACAGAGGUCCCGAGCGUUGUUCGGAUUCACUGGGCGUAAAGGGUGCGUAGGCGGUUGGGUAAGUCUGAUGUGAAAUCCCGGAGCUCAACUCCGGAACUGCAUUGGAAACUAUCCGGCUAGAGGGUUGGAGGGGGGACUGGAAUUCUCGGUGUAGCAGUGAAAUGCGUAGAUAUCGAGAGGAACACCAGUGGCGAAGGCGAGUCCCUGGACAACACCUGACGCUGAGGCACGAAAGCUAGGGGAGCAAACAGG
This 253-nucleotide ribosomal RNA is filed under the name uncultured bacterium. RNAcentral's name for it is "partial 16S ribosomal RNA". It matches the Rfam family "Bacterial small subunit ribosomal RNA", at positions 524 to 776 of the family's 1533-position model. The record is from RNAcentral.